GCUAGUGAGGGCCGGGGGGGGGGGGGAAUACUUGGGGGGCAAGGGUUAUGCGUAAGGAUUUGGCGUAAAGGGCGCGCAGUGUGUUUCUUAAGUCUGAUGUGAAAGCCCACGGCUCAACCGUGGAGGGUCAUUGGAAACUGGGAGACUUGAGUGCAGAAGAGGAAAGUGGAAUUCCAUGUGUAGCGGUGAAAUGCGUAGAGAUAUGGAGGAACGCCAGUGGCGAAGGCGACUUUCUGGUCUGUAACUGACACUGAGGCGCGAAAGCGUGGGGAGCAAACAGGAUUAGAUACCCCAGUAGUC
Molecule: ribosomal RNA, 300 nt
Filed under: uncultured Lactobacillus sp.
Lineage: Bacteria; Bacillati; Bacillota; Bacilli; Lactobacillales; Lactobacillaceae
Description: partial 16S ribosomal RNA
Rfam family: Bacterial small subunit ribosomal RNA
Source: RNAcentral